UACGAAGGGGGCUAGCGUUGCUCGGAUUGACUGGGCGUAAAGGGCGCGUAGGCGGUUCGUACAGUCAGACGUGAAAUUCCUGGGCUCAACCUGGGGGCUGCGUUUGAUACGUGCGGACUUGAGUGCGGAAGAGGGUCGUGGAACUCCCAGUGUAGAGGUGAAAUUCGUAGAUAUUGGGAAGAACACCGGUGGCGAAGGCGGCGACCUGGUCCGAUACUGACGCUGAGGCGCGAAAGCGUGGGGAGCAAACAGG
This 253-nucleotide ribosomal RNA is filed under the name uncultured bacterium. Its description in RNAcentral is "partial 16S ribosomal RNA". It matches the Rfam family "Bacterial small subunit ribosomal RNA", at positions 524 to 776 of the family's 1533-position model. The record is from RNAcentral.